UUUCUGCUUUAUGCAUAUGUAUCGUCUGGGAUCGCUUCAAGCAGCGGCUUCGAUUUGGUUUUUGUAUUAAAAUUUUGCUAAACUAAAAAAUGUGUGUGCAGUUUGCCAGAGCUGGACAAGAGGAGGCAGCAAAAGAACCUGGCAGUGGCCCCAGCUUCGGUGGCGGGUUUUUCAGGCUGUCGCACAUACAGGCGCACUCACACACACACACAGAGAGAGAGACACAUUGAAAGGAAGGCCCCCGGUUGAAGAAGUGAUGACAACAACGACGUAUGAGCACCCGAGUUUGUGCCGCAUUUAAAUUUCAAAUUGUACAGAACAGAGACCGAACCCGAACCCGAGACCGAGACCAAGACCGAGAUCGAGCCCGAACCCGAUGCCGCUGCCGCAGCCGUAGCCUUAGACUCAAAAACCCGGCAGCUACUUGCUACCAAUGUUGUUGGGCCUGUAUCUUGAUGCCUCUGUGCAGGCAGCAUCCACAAGCAGAACACAACUGCAACAACAAGUGUGUGGGGCAGGUAGACACUAAAUCCAGCAGCAGCAGCAGCAGCGGCAGCAACAGCAACUACAGCUAGCUGGCUUUUCCUAUUGCCUUUCUUAUGGAAAUUUGAUGUUGUUGCCAAGUUAAGUUCAUUAAGUGUUAGUAUUUGAACCUCUGGCUGACAGUCGUUUGCCUUGCCAUCGAUACAAUCUCUGCAGCUCUUGCCGAUGACUUCGCAACGCCGAACAAAUUCCAAGUGGUUUUGGCAAAUGGCUGUGUCUGAGGUGGGUCCCGGCCCAGACGAACACACAAUGCACACACACGUGUACACAACACCUUCGAUAAGCUGGCAGCGCCUCACAUUUAACCAAUUUGGAGCAUACGCCUCUUGCGUUAGGCACAGCAAAAAAAAAAACGCAGGAUGAGCUGACAGUAAGGCCCACAAGGUAAAUAUUUUGAGUACUCACAGUUGGAGCAAGGCCAGUAGAUGCAAUAUGUAAGCAGCUGAAUGCCAUUGAACUAAUUGCAUUAAAGCUGUGCUCUUCUCUAAGCUCUUCUUAAAACUAA
Drosophila virilis is the source of this 1048-nucleotide long non-coding RNA. RefSeq lists it as uncharacterized. NCBI's taxonomy places the organism in Eukaryota, Metazoa, Arthropoda, Insecta, Diptera, Drosophilidae. The record is from RefSeq and is a predicted model, not a curated record.